This is a long non-coding RNA of Heterocephalus glaber (naked mole-rat), 1644 nucleotides long. RefSeq lists it as uncharacterized. The record is from RefSeq and is a predicted model, not a curated record. Lineage: Eukaryota; Metazoa; Chordata; Mammalia; Rodentia; Bathyergidae.
CCAGAAGCGGGGGAGGCAGUGUGACCUGACCGUGCCUUCUUGCUCUUCAAGUGGAUCUCUGCAUGGGACCAGCUCUGCAGCCCAGAUGCUCUGACGCUGCAGCUCGUCCUUCCAGGCUCUUCCAGAUGCAUUGACCGCAGAGGGAGGCUUAGGGCCUGACCUCCCCACCUUCAUCCUGUUUCUGAGCACCACUUCCACAGAUCCUCGCUGAACUUUCUGCUUCGUGGCUGCCAUGGUUUCAGCACCGUUCCUCUGUGAUGUCCCUCAGUCGUGUGUUUCUGCCUUGGAGCCAGCCGACAAUGAGCCAAGACUGAGCCAACCAAGACUGCUCCUUUAAAUUAAAAGCUUAGGAUUGACAAAGACACAGGAGAAACAUCAAGCUCAGAUUUUGAAGAGACAGCAGAGCCCUAACGGCUCAGAAUGCAUUUGACUACAAAACCCAAAUAACCAUGGUUUAAACCAGCAGUGCCAUGUUCUUCUGGUACAGCAAGAAGCCCACAGCCUGGGCACCUGAACUUCAGCAAGCCACACAGGGAGCCAGGAGGCAGGCAGGCUUGUUAUCUCAAAGCACAGUGGCAUUUCGAAGCUGUGUCCCAAGAGAGAAGACAGGAAACUGGAAUGAGUGUGGUCCUUAUCAGGGAGGCCAACGGUCUCUGAGAAACCCAAGCUCUGCUUGGCCUCUCUGUACCAGCCGGGCCUCACACGAUCAGAAGAGCAGGACAUGGAGGUGCCAUCACGCUAAGGCUCUUCAGUAAAGUAAACCAGGUCCGCUCUCAGGGCACGGAGGAUGGCGGCUUUGGGUAAACCACAGACACGGAGACGGAAGUUGGAGAACCCAAGGACAAACUGAAGCCUCAGCAUCCCACCCAGUUCUCCAGGUGUCCACAGUCCCCCCAGCUGUUCAAGCACAGAGAGCAACGUGACCAGCUGUCCCUCGCAGAACGGUCUCCUUUCCAUGGUGUUCGCUCGGCGCUGUGUUCUUGAGUUUUUAAGAGUUGCCAAUGCUAAUAGUACGGCAUGUAAAGAACAUUUUCUGCUUCUCUUGAAAACUCCCAACAGCUGCCCCCACGGCAGCAACCAGCAGGAAGGGAAGCCCCGAGCCGACGCUGGGAGAGGGAUGUGUGGUCCACAGAUGCCGCCAGCCCCGGUCUCUCCAAUCCCGCUGCUACAUGAGGCGUGGUCCUCGUUCCUAACCGACUUUGGCUGUGUGGCCUCUCCUCAACACUCUAUCCACCAACUGUGCUACAGGUACUCGAGUACAUCCUGAAACAGCAGAGGUGGACAGACCACCAUCUCAACAACCACGGUCAAACAACCCAGAGUCGAUCACAGGCAAAGCAUCACCGAGGGCUGGUUCCCGUCCGGUCAUACACAAGGCACAAAGAAAUGUCCACAGAGCCCACCAAAAAAUAUAUACAGACUUCAGGGAAAGAACAAUAGUAUGAGGGUUUUCUCCCCAGAUGGUGUUACCCUCGUGUGGGGGACCCUAGAGGGUGUCGUCUAUAAUGGCCGAAAACUGACCAUUGUCGGCCCUUGGAGAAUAGACUGAAAAUGCAUGUGCAGCAAUCCCAAUGACCAAGGCCACCCGAGCAGCAGUUCGCCGGUGGAAGCUCCUGGCCACCACUCUGAGCACCUCGGGUCCUU